This 1778-nucleotide small RNA is filed under the name Pongo abelii (Sumatran orangutan). Its description in RNAcentral is "retained intron". The record is from RNAcentral. Lineage: Eukaryota; Metazoa; Chordata; Mammalia; Primates; Hominidae.
AGAAAAUGAUGCCCAGGUUGGGCUCCCCGGCCCACCGGCCGAGGAGAGGCCUGCGCUGCACACGCGCAGACCGAGCAUCCGCGUCAAGAGGCGAAGAGAGCGCGCGCUCCCCACGUCCUGCGCGCCUGGCUGCCAGGCAUUCGUCUCAGCCGUGACUCUCGCCAGGCCGGGGCUGGCGCGCGCCCACGUCUGAAGAGCGAUGCCCCGGGAGAUCAUCACCCUGCAGCUGGGCCAGUGCGGCAACCAGAGUGAGCAAGCGAGCGCCGGCCCCGCCGGUCUCUGGUUCUGCCCCUUCGGGUCCCACCCAAGUGCCUGUCUUCCACCAGUCCCCCUUUCCCUUCCAUGAACCCCCUGCCCUGCUGCUCUGGAUAACCCAGACCGAGAGCUGCGCCUCCAGCCCGGGGCUGGGGCAGCUACCAGACCCAGGCAUCUUGGGUCCACCCUCUGAUCGUGUCAGCCUCUGAGACUAAAACUGGGCUCCUCAGGCCUUAAGGCUCCAGCAGACCCGGGCAUCUCCCCCCUCCCCCAGUUGGGUUCGAGUUCUGGAAACAGCUGUGCGCCGAGCAUGGUAUCAGCCCCGAGGGCAUCGUGGAGGAGUUCGCCACCGAGGGCACUGACCGCAAGGACGUCUUUUUCUACCAGGCAGACGAUGAGCACUACAUCCCCCGGGCGGUGCUGCUGGACCUGGAACCCCGGGUGAUCCACUCCAUCCUCAACUCCCCCUAUGCCAAGCUCUACAAUCCAGAGAACAUCUACCUGUCGGAACAUGGAGGAGGAGCUGGCAACAACUGGGCCAGCGGAUUCUCCCAGGGUGAGAAAAUUCAUGAAGACAUCUUUGACAUCAUAGACCGAGAAGCAGAUGGAAGUGACAGUUUAGAGGUACCCCAAGAAGCUAGUGCAGACUUACUCAGUGUUUCCCUACCAGGACGAGAUGAGCGACGUGGUGGUUCAGCCCUACAAUUCACUCCUGACACUCAAGAGACUGACGCAGAACGCAGACUGUGUGGUGGUGCUGGACAACACAGCCCUGAACCGGAUUGCCACAGACCGCCUGCACAUCCAGAACCCGUCCUUCUCCCAGAUCAACCAGCUGGUGUCCACCAUCAUGUCGGCCAGCACCACCACCCUGCGCUACCCUGGCUACAUGAACAAUGACCUCAUCGGCCUCAUCGCCUCGCUCAUUCCCACCCCACGGCUCCACUUCCUCAUGACCGGCUACACCCCGCUCACUACGGACCAGUCAGUGGCCAGUGUGAGGAAGACCACGGUCCUGGAUGUCAUGAGGCGGCUGCUGCAGCCCAAGAACGUGAUGGUGUCCACAGGCCGAGACCGCCAGACCAACCACUGCUACAUCGCCAUCCUCAACAUCAUCCAGGGAGAGGUGGACCCCACCCAGGUCCACAAGAGCCUGCAGAGGAUCCGGGAACGGAAGUUGGCCAACUUCAUCCCGUGGGGCCCCGCCAGCAUCCAGGUGGCCCUGUCGAGGAAGUCUCCCUACCUGCCCUCGGCCCACCGGGUCAGCGGGCUCAUGAUGGCCAACCACACCAGCAUCUCCUCGCUCUUUGAAAGUUCCUGCCAGCAGUUUGACAAGCUGCGGAAGCGGGAUGCCUUCCUCGAGCAAUUCCGUAAGGAGGACAUGUUCAAGGACAACUUUGAUGAGAUGGACAGGUCUAGGGAGGUUGUUCAGGAGCUCAUUGAUGAGUACCAUGCGGCCACCGAGCCAGACUACAUUUCCUGGGGCACCCAGGAGCAGUGAUUUCCCUCCCCACUACUCCUUC